Molecule: ribosomal RNA, 494 nt
Filed under: Coriobacteriaceae bacterium BL8
Lineage: Bacteria; Bacillati; Actinomycetota; Coriobacteriia; Coriobacteriales; Coriobacteriaceae
Description: bacterial SSU rRNA
Rfam family: Bacterial small subunit ribosomal RNA
Source: RNAcentral
AGAGUUUGAUCCUGGCUCAGGAUGAACGCUGGCGGCGCGCCUAACACAUGCAAGUCGAACGGCACCCACCCCCGGGUGGAAGCGAGUGGCGAACGGCUGAGUAACACGUGGAGAACCCGCCCCCCUCUCGGGGAUAGCCGCCGGAAACGGCGGGUAACACCCGAUGACCCCGCAGCGAGGCAUCUCGCAGCGGGCAAAACUCCGGUGGAGGGGGAUGGCUCCGCGGCCCAUCAGGUAGACGGCGGGGUGACGGCCCACCGUGCCGACAACGGGUAGCCGGGUUGAGAGACCGACCGGCCAGAUUGGGACUGAGACACGGCCCAGACUCCUACGGGAGGCAGCAGUGGGGAAUCUUGCGCAAUGGGGGCAACCCUGACGCAGCGACGCCGCGUGCGGGACGGAGGCCUUCGGGUCGUAAACCGCUUUCAGCAGGGACGAGGAAAGACUGUACCUGCAGAAGAAGCCCCGGCUAACUACGUGCCAGCAGCCGCGGU